UACGUAGGGGGCAAGCGUUGUCCGGAUUUAUUGGGCGUAAAGAGCGUGUAGGCGGCUUGGUAGGUCCGCUGUGAAAACUCGAGGCUCAACCUCGAGAUGUCGGCGGAAACCACUUGGCUAGAGUCCGGAAGAGGAGAGUGGAAUUCCGGGUGUAGCGGUGAAAUGCGUAGAUAUCAGGAGGAACACCGGUGGCGAAGGCGGCUCUCCGGUCCACAACUGACGCUGAGGUGCGAAAGCUAGGGGAGCAAACGGG
Molecule: ribosomal RNA, 253 nt
Filed under: uncultured bacterium
Lineage: Bacteria
Description: partial 16S ribosomal RNA
Rfam family: Bacterial small subunit ribosomal RNA
Source: RNAcentral